This 349-nucleotide ribosomal RNA is filed under the name uncultured bacterium. RNAcentral describes it as "partial 16S ribosomal RNA". It matches the Rfam family "Bacterial small subunit ribosomal RNA", at positions 340 to 681 of the family's 1533-position model. The record is from RNAcentral.
CCCGGGAGGCAGCAGUGGGGAAGAUGGCGCAAGGGGUGAAAGCCUGACGCAGCGACGCCGCGGGAGGGAUGAAGGUCUUCGGAUCGUAAACCUCUGUCAGCAGGGAAGAACGGUCACUGUGCUAAUCAGCAGUGAAUGGACGGUACCUGCAAAGGAAGCACCGGCUAACUCCGUGCCAGCAGCCGCGGUAAUACGGAGGGUGCGAGCGUUAAUCGGAAUUACUGGGCGGAAAGCGCUCGUAGGCGGUAUGUCAAGUCAAGGGUGAAAUCCCCGCGCUCAACGUGGGAACUGCCUUUGAAACUGGCAACCUGGAGUGUGUGCGAGUAUAGUGGAAUUCCAGGUGUAGGCG